UACGAAAGGGGCUAGCGUUGAUCGGAAUUACUGGGAGUAAAGCGCACGUAGGCGGACUUUUAAGUCGGGGGUGAAAUCCUGGAGCUCAACUCCAGAACUGCCUUCGAAACUGAAAGCCUUGAGUUCGGGAGAGGUGAGUGGAACUGCGAGUGUAGAGGUGAAAUUCGUAGAUAUUCGCAAGAACACCAGUGGCGAAGGCGGCUCACUGGCCCGAUACUGACGCUGAGGUGCGAAAGCGUGGGGAGCAAACAGG
This 253-nucleotide ribosomal RNA is filed under the name uncultured bacterium. Its description in RNAcentral is "partial 16S ribosomal RNA". It matches the Rfam family "Bacterial small subunit ribosomal RNA", at positions 524 to 776 of the family's 1533-position model. The record is from RNAcentral.